This 310-nucleotide ribosomal RNA is filed under the name Burkholderia multivorans. RNAcentral's name for it is "bacterial SSU rRNA". It matches the Rfam family "Bacterial small subunit ribosomal RNA", at positions 1 to 311 of the family's 1533-position model. RNAcentral also lists the same sequence under 1 other name. Lineage: Bacteria; Pseudomonadati; Pseudomonadota; Betaproteobacteria; Burkholderiales; Burkholderiaceae. The record is from RNAcentral.
GAACUGAAGAGUUUGAUCCUGGCUCAGAUUGAACGCUGGCGGCAUGCCUUACACAUGCAAGUCGAACGGCAGCACGGGUGCUUGCACCUGGUGGCGAGUGGCGAACGGGUGAGUAAUACAUCGGAACAUGUCCUGUAGUGGGGGAUAGCCCGGCGAAAGCCGGAUUAAUACCGCAUACGAUCUACGGAUGAAAGCGGGGGACCUUCGGGCCUCGCGCUAUAGGGUUGGCCGAUGGCUGAUUAGCUAGUUGGUGGGGUAAAGGCCUACCAAGGCGACGAUCAGUAGCUGGUCUGAGAGGACGACCAGCCAC